CAUGCAAGUCGAACGGAAAGGCCCUUCGGGGUACUCGAGUGGCGAACGGGUGAGUAACACGUGGGUGAUCUGCCCUGCAUUUUGGGAUAAGCCUGGGAAACUGGGUCUAAUACCGGAUAGGACCACGGUCUGCAUGGAUUGUGGUGGAAAGCUUUUGCGGUGUGGGAUGGGCCCGCGGCCUAUCAGCUUGUUGGUGAGGUUACGGCUCACCAAGGCGACGACGGGUAGCCGGCCUGAGAGGGUGUCCGGCCACACUGGGACUGAGAUACGGCCCAGACUCCUACGGGAGGCAGCAGUGGGGAAUAUUGCACAAUGGGCGCAAGCCUGAUGCAGCGACGCCGCGUGAGGGAUGACGGCCUUCGGGUUGUAAACCUCUUUCGCCAGGGACGAAGCGCAAGUGACGGUACCUGGAGAAGAAGCACCGGCCAACUACGUGCCAGCAGCCGCGGUAAUACGUAGGGUGCGAGCGUUGUCCGGAAUUACUGGGCGUAAAGAGCUCGUAGGUGGUUUGUCGCGUUGUUCGUGAAAACUCACA
This 535-nucleotide ribosomal RNA is filed under the name uncultured Mycobacterium sp. RNAcentral describes it as "bacterial SSU rRNA". It matches the Rfam family "Bacterial small subunit ribosomal RNA", at positions 54 to 606 of the family's 1533-position model. The record is from RNAcentral. Lineage: Bacteria; Bacillati; Actinomycetota; Actinomycetes; Mycobacteriales; Mycobacteriaceae.